UUGAACGCUGGCGGCGUGCUUUACACAUGCAAGUCGAGCGGCAGCACGACCUUCGGGUUGGUGGCGAGCGGCGGACGGCUGAGUAACGCGUAGGAACGUGCCCCAAAGUGAGGAAUAACUGCCCGAAAGGGUGGCUAAUGCCGCAUAUGAUCUUCGGAUUAAAGGAUUUAUCCGCUUUGGGAGCGGCCUGCGUUAGAUUAGGUAGUUGGUAGGGUAAUGGCCUACCAAGCCGACGAUCUAUAGCUGGUCUGAGAGGAUGAUCAGCCAGACUGGGACUGAGACACGGCCCAGACUCCUACGGGAGGCAGCAGUGAGGAAUCUUCCACAAUGGGCGAAAGCCUGAUGGAGCAACGCCGCGUGAAGGAUGGAGGCCCUAGGGUCGUAAACUUCUUUUAUAAGUGAAGAAUAUGACGGUAACUUAUGAAUAAGCACCGGCUAACUACGU
This 445-nucleotide ribosomal RNA is filed under the name uncultured bacterium. Its description in RNAcentral is "bacterial SSU rRNA". It matches the Rfam family "Bacterial small subunit ribosomal RNA", at positions 30 to 506 of the family's 1533-position model. The record is from RNAcentral.